CAGACAUUUGCCACUUCAGAAUUUUUUUCUGGGUCAGCAGACUUUGCACUUUGCAAGUUGGCUUUCUUGGAGAAUUGCCUUCUCGGACAAUGUGGACAUGCUGCUAACCAGUCUAUCCUCAGGCUGAAUAAAAGUGGUGGUGAAGGUGUCAGCAGCCCUCAUGCCUAAGGUGUCCCAUCUCUCAUAAGCCAUGGCACUACUGCUGAUGGUGGAUUGGGGAUGAUCCUUCCUUAAAUUUCAACUUGUGAUUAGUACAUGUCAAGGAUGAUGGUGGGUUUUAUUUUUCUUAUUGCAAUAAAUUUGGCAUAUGAAUGAUUGUUUAUUGUGUAAACUAAC
This is a non-coding RNA of Pelobates cultripes (western spadefoot toad), 336 nucleotides long. The record is from the annotation of a GenBank genome assembly. NCBI's taxonomy places the organism in Eukaryota, Metazoa, Chordata, Amphibia, Anura, Pelobatidae.